This 239-nucleotide ribosomal RNA is filed under the name uncultured bacterium. RNAcentral describes it as "partial 16S ribosomal RNA". It matches the Rfam family "Bacterial small subunit ribosomal RNA", at positions 15 to 236 of the family's 1533-position model. The record is from RNAcentral.
GAUCCUGGCUCAGGAUGAACGCUGGCGGCGUGCUUAACACAUGCGAGUCGAACGAAGCACUUUAACCUGAUUCUUCGGAUGAAGGUUUUUGUGACUGAGUGGCGGACGGGUGAGUAACGCGUGGGUAACCUGCCUCAUACAGGGGGAUAACAGUUAGAAAUGACUGCUAAUACCGCAUAAGACCACGGAGCCGCAUGGCUCAGUGGGAGAAACUCCGGUGGUAUGAGAUGGACCCGCGU